Molecule: ribosomal RNA, 2322 nt
Filed under: Triticum aestivum (bread wheat)
Lineage: Eukaryota; Viridiplantae; Streptophyta; Magnoliopsida; Poales; Poaceae
Description: partial small subunit ribosomal RNA
Source: RNAcentral
AUGAACGGAAGGGAUAGUAGGUCCUGUGUAGCUCGAGCUACAAAAAACUGCUCUCGAGCUGAGGGUUACUCCAGAGAGAAGUUUGGUACUAGCAUGGAGGGUAACAGAAAAUUUAGUUUGCGCUCAGGGGGUUACUCUAGUGAUAAAUAUCUUAUCAACCGUCAGGGCUACUCCAGGGAAAAUUUUGGUAUAAGUGCAGAGGGUUACUACAAGGAUAGGUUUGGCAUUAGUGCAGAUGAGGAUGGGGAAAUGUUGUUCUCUGAACUGAUCAAGUUGAGCAUAAUCCAGUAUCCACCAAACACGAAUGCAUCAAAUAGCAAGGUGAAAGACAUGUUCCAAGUUAACGGUUUCUUCCAUGGAUAUAUCAUGUCACGGAGAAUGGAUGAUAACCUUGUGUUUGCACCGGAGGGCCGUUGCAGCCCCAGCUUGCAAUGUGCUGGACAACACCUCACCAUUAGCACCACUUGGGACAGAGACGAGAGUGUAUUCAAGAGCAUGGACCUAUCACGACUACGUUCUUUCACAGUAUUUGGGAAGUGGAGGUCAUUCUUCGUCUCUAAGGGUAUCAAUAUGGCACUUCUUAGGGUGCUGGAUCUGGAGGAUACAUCAAGUGUAUCAGAUGGUGACCUCGAGAAGAUAGUGAAGCUACUGCCUUGUCUCAAGUUUCUAUCCUUGCGGGGAUGCGAAGAUAUCACUUGUCUGCCAGAUUCAGUGGGUGGACUGAGGCAGUUGCAAACUCUGGAUGUCAGACACACAUGUAUAGUAGAGUUACCAGCCUCCAUCAGCAAGCUACAAAAUCUACAAUAUAUUCGUGCAGGCACCACUUAUGAAUCAUUGGGUCAAGGCCAUGAUGUGCAACAGGAAGCAUCAGAGCAUGAUGGUACAAGCACCAGCCAAACAUCAGUAGUGGUUGCAGCAGCAGCAACAACAACAACAACUACUACUACUACUACUACUACUACUACUACAACAUCAGUGGACCCUCAUGGCGCGAACAUAAGUCAACCAUCAGAAACACCACAAACUGACAUUGAUGAUGAAGAUGGGACAUUAACUAAAUCAGUAGCGGCAGGCCAUGCUAGCACAAGCAUGAUCCGCAGAGCAGUGGCGGUAGCAGCAACAAGCAAGUCGAGCACAAGUCAACUAUCAGAAACAUUGCCACCAGCUGGCAUUGACAAUGAAUACGGGGGAUUAACUAAAGCAGCAGAAGCAGACAAUGAUGGCACAAGGACAGUCCAAACAGCAGGAGCAGUAGCAGUAGCAGCAACAACAACAACAACACCGGUAGACCGUCAUGGCGUGAGCACUAGUCAACCAUCAGAAACACCAGCACCAGCUGCUAUUGACGGUGAUGAUGGGGCAUCACCUAUACUAGCGCUACUGAGAAGGAGGGCACACGAUCUGGAUAACUGGUUUUCCAAUAAGAAGAAGUUGCGCAGACGCCAACGACUUAAUGAUAAUGGUGGUGGUGUUAAGGUUCAGGCUCACGGGAUUGGGAAUAUGGCGGCCUUGCGUACACUCGGUGUCGUGAAUGUGAGUGGUGCAGGUGGGAAGGCCAUCCUCAAGGAGGUAAAUAAGCUUACCCAGUUGCGCAAGCUCGGCGUGUCUGGUAUCAACCGCAAAAACUGGCACGACUUGUACUCUGCCAUUUCAGGACAUGGUCAUCUCGAGUCAUUGUCAGUAUAUUUUGACAAGGGGGAACCUGCAACAAGUUUUUUUUCUCGUUCGAGUGACAUGUUCUCCGGCCUACCCAAGAGUCUGAAGAGCCUUAAGCUGUAUUCGACGGGUGGGGAAGUACAAGUACCGCCGGUCUUGGUGAAGCAUCUUUACUGUCUCAGAAAGUCUCGUUUUGACCUCAUAGUGUCGACGCAAGAAGAUAUAUACAGCAUUACGGAAUUUCCUCAUCGACGUGCAUUUCGUAAUAUUUAUGUCAAGCCGGUUCAAGAUGGCCAGCUCCAUUAUGGUCAGCGGGAUGAGACGUUGUAUUGUGAUGGUUUCACUGACGCCCCAAUCCUCAAGAUUGACUGUGGCAGCUACAAGCUGGCGAUAUGUUUUGGAUAUUGGAUACCAGAAUACAUUGAGGUGCUGGUGGUUGACUGCUCUACUGCUGAGGCUUCUUUGGAGGUGUCUGGAUUAAAGGAAUUAUCUAGACUCAAGGAGGUGUGGCUCAAGGGUUCCUACAGCGAGGCAAUCAAGCAACAUUUGCAGCAGAAACUUGAUGAGCUACACAGCUCACGCUUGGAGGAGGCAGUUAAGUACGGCAGGGAGUCCAGGUACACAAGAGCUGUCCUGAGGCUGGAGGACCAAGCACAUCCGUCCUGA